Molecule: ribosomal RNA, 190 nt
Filed under: Corynebacterium xerosis
Lineage: Bacteria; Bacillati; Actinomycetota; Actinomycetes; Mycobacteriales; Corynebacteriaceae
Description: partial 23S ribosomal RNA
Rfam family: Bacterial large subunit ribosomal RNA
Source: RNAcentral
UGUUCCGCCAGGGGCAUUGCUGGUUGGCUACGUACGGAAGGGAUAACCGCUGAAAGCAUCUAAGCGGGAAGCCUGUUUCGAGAUCAGGUUUCAUUUGAGGUCCCCCAUAGAUGAUGGGGUUGAUAGGCCGGAACUGUACGCACGGUAACGUGUUCAGGUGACCGGUACUAAUAGGCCGAACGUCAACACA